AGAAAGCUUAGAACUUGGAGGGGAUUAGAGUAUCAAAUUCAUAAUUUUACAUUGUUGCUAGGAUAACCAGGUGAGUGAGACAACUAUCUCAAUAACGGAUAUAUGCUUGAGGGGUAGAAUUGAGGAGCCCUUAACCUCCAAUAAGGCUUUGAGAUUUUACAUAAUUAUGUUAUUUGUAAUUGAUUUACUGUAUGUGAUGAUAAUUAGUGAUGAAAUUUGUGUGCUAUGAUGUAUGAUAAAUUUUGUUUUGAUAAGUUAAC
RNAcentral lists this long non-coding RNA (260 nucleotides) under Lathyrus oleraceus (garden pea). RNAcentral describes it as "Pisum sativum (pea) long non-coding RNA (PSAT_LNC009610)". The record is from RNAcentral. Lineage: Eukaryota; Viridiplantae; Streptophyta; Magnoliopsida; Fabales; Fabaceae.